AAAAAUGAGGCGUAAGGAGAAGAAUACACAGGUAGAGAUCAGGUCUAUAAUGUUAGAGGGUGUGAAGUCAUUUCUGCCUGAUAAGACAGAGUGACUCAGCCUGGCUGGAAGGGCAAAAUUUGUGCUAGCUUUUAAAUCACAACUACUGUGACAAUACAACAGCAGUACUGCUACAGCUCAAGAAGAAUUGGCAACGAUUUGGAGUACAGGCUUAACUUCUAAAUACCUGUUUAUUUGUAUUACCUAUUCACAUUUUAGCAAGUGUAUUAUUUCUUUAAUAAAACUUGGAUGAUUCUGAGUUCUGCAGUCUUGGUCCACAGUGCAUCCAAAAGAGGCUGUUACCACACGUUAACAGGCUACUUGUCUGACCCCUUCUGAGCAUGGCAAUACAGGUUAGGAAGAGGUAUUUUCCUACUUAGGAGUAGAGCUUUUUGGACAUCAAGAGUUUCCCUUAAUGGAAGACCUUUCCUACUGAAUGAAAGGUUCUACUAGGUCCAAGAUCACAGGAAGCAUAGUAAGUUUGCAAUACAGUUACAGGCUUGCUUAGAGCCCUGAUGUAAGAGAAAAAUACAGCUGGGUGGUAUCUGUGCUCUGUAAUUAGUUACAAGGAAUAAAACCUUAUUGUAUAAGAAUAAAAGGGCCUCUGUGCUGGUAAGGUAAACACAUAGUUUUCAGGGUACUGAUUCAAGAUGCUCUUUUUGACUUGUCUUUCUGAAAUGCUAAACACCAUUUUUCAUUAUAUGUUAUAAAAAGCAAAUGGACUCUAUUCUAAUUUAUGUUUUAUUGCUUUGUUUAGUGUAAUUCAGAUAUUUCAUAGCAAGUUUUAUUAUAGAGAUUGUAAAAUAUACUUAAGGUCAAAGGGUUAUUAACACCUUACUCUAUUUCUUAAGAUGUGUAAACAUAUUAUGAACUGCAUUAAAUUCUGGAACAUAAUCUUUUUUCUUUUUUGAAGAAUGAAGGUUUUCCCUUAGACCCGAAGUAUAAGGAACUGCUCAGAACUGUACCAGCUAUCACCAACCAUCACAGCAGUGCGAUAAACACUGUAAAACAGCUGGCAUACUAAACAUGGAAAUGAAAAGCAGUAAUGGUCUUUAAGAAGAGGGGGCGAAGAAAAACUUAAAAGUGUGUGCCACCAAGGUUAGGGUAUAAUUAUGCUAAAUGAAUGGAGUUAGGUGACAAAUUUCACUAACUCUGUUUAGAUUUGUAGCAUAUACAAGACCAUAUAUGGCUUCUGUCUUGAAUAAAAAAAAAUGUGUUAUGUUAUGGACCUCUUCUAUUUGAGGUUGUUUUCAAAUUAUUACUUCAGAUUUCUUU
This is a long non-coding RNA of Oxyura jamaicensis (ruddy duck), 1314 nucleotides long. RefSeq lists it as uncharacterized. The record is from RefSeq and is a predicted model, not a curated record. NCBI's taxonomy places the organism in Eukaryota, Metazoa, Chordata, Aves, Anseriformes, Anatidae. The transcript has 3 exons.